This 301-nucleotide ribosomal RNA is filed under the name uncultured bacterium. Its description in RNAcentral is "partial 16S ribosomal RNA". It matches the Rfam family "Bacterial small subunit ribosomal RNA", at positions 509 to 809 of the family's 1533-position model. The record is from RNAcentral.
CAGCCGCCGCGGUAAUACAGAGGGUGCGAGCGUUAAUCGGAUUUACUGGGCGUAAAGCGUGCGUAGGCGGCUAAUUGAGUCGGAUGUGAAAUCCCCGAGCUUAACUUGGGAAUUGCAUUCGAUACUGGUUAGCUAGAGUGUGGGAGAGGAUGGUAGAAUUCCAGGUGUAGCGGUGAAAUGCGUAGAGAUCUGGAGGAAUACCGAUGGCGAAGGCAGCCAUCUGGCCUAAUACUGACGCUGAGGUACGAAAGCAUGGGGAGCAAACAGGAUUAGAUACCCCGGUAGUCCCUGUCUCUUAUAU